Molecule: long non-coding RNA, 425 nt
Organism: Hyalella azteca
Lineage: Eukaryota; Metazoa; Arthropoda; Malacostraca; Amphipoda; Hyalellidae
Exons: 3
Source: RefSeq, a predicted model, not a curated record
GACACUGCGAGCUUGACGGCGGUGGAAGGAGAAGCUGUGGUGGUGCCCUGCAGGACUACCAAGUUUGUCCCUCCUGGAGGAUCCUUCGCCUUCUCCUCGGUUGGAGUAGGAAUUUCGUGGACUAAAGAUGGCGAAGCGAUCAAGUUUUCCAAAAAAUUCGAGUCUCUGGCCAACGGGAGCCUCGCUGUGCGCUCUGUGCAGCGUCAAGACGGCGGCCUCUACACCUGCACUAGCACUAGUGGAACUAGCACCACCCGCCUGCUAGUGACUAGACCCCCAAAGAUCGAAGGCUUCAGGUUCCCCUCGGAGCAGACUGAGGGUAGCCGCAGUCAAGUGUCUUGUGUGGUGACAUCAGGAGACCUUCCCCUUACCCUCACCUGGCUGUUGGACGGCCGCCCUCUACACCCUGACCCUGCCAGGCAACU